Molecule: ribosomal RNA, 742 nt
Filed under: uncultured Eubacteriales bacterium
Lineage: Bacteria; Bacillati; Bacillota; Clostridia; Eubacteriales
Description: bacterial SSU rRNA
Rfam family: Bacterial small subunit ribosomal RNA
Source: RNAcentral
GAUAAACGCUGGCGGCGCACAUAAGACAUGCAAGUCGAACGAACUUAAUUGAGAGCUUGCUCUCAAAGCGGUUAGUGGCGGACUGGUGAGUAACACGUAAGCAACCUGCCUAUUAGAGGGGAAUAACAGCGAGAAAUCGUUGCUAAUACCGCAUAUGCUGUGAGUAUCGCAUGAUACAAGCAGGAAAGGAGCAAUCCGCUAAUAGAUGGGCUUGCGUCUGAUUAGUUAGUUGGUGGGGUAAAGGCCUACCAAGACGAUGAUCAGUAGCCGGACUGAGAGGUUGAACGGCCACAUUGGGACUGAGAUACGGCCCAGACUCCUACGGGAGGCAGCAGUCGGGAAUAUUGCGCAAUGGAGGAAACUCUGACGCAGUGACGCCGCGUGCAGGAAGAAGGUUUUCGGAUUGUAAACUGCUUUUAACAGGAAAGAAAAAAAUGACGGUACCUGUUGAAUAAGCUCCGGCUAACUACGUGCCAGCAGCCGCGGUAAUACGUAGGGAGCGAGCGUUAUCCGGAUUUAUUGGGUGUAAAGGGUGCGUAGACGGAAAUGCAAGUUAGUUGUGAAAUACCUCGGCUUAACUGAGGAACUGCAACUAAAACUAUAUUUCUUGAGUAUCGGAGGGGUUUGUGGAAUUCCUAGUGUAGCGGUGAAAUGCGUAGAUAUUAGGAAGAACACCGGUGGCGAAGGCGACAAACUGGACGAUAACUGACGUUGAGGCACGAAAGUGUGGGGAGCAAACAGG